Molecule: long non-coding RNA, 1574 nt
Organism: Physeter macrocephalus (sperm whale)
Lineage: Eukaryota; Metazoa; Chordata; Mammalia; Artiodactyla; Physeteridae
Exons: 4
Source: RefSeq, a predicted model, not a curated record
UAUUGUAAGAUGAACUGCGUGCUCUAAGAAUGGGUGAGUUGCAUGAGCCCCUCCAGAUUAGUGAUUCUCUACCUAACCUAGGCCCGCAGCAACUCUGAGAAGGAAAGGGGGAGAGGGAUGGGAGACAGCAUCUCCCUUCAAUCAGGAGUCCAGCUUUGGCCAAACACCUCCUUACAGUAUUUGGCGAUCUUUAUGUACAAAAUAUUUAUAUACAAUAUAUCCUACAAAGAUGGAAGGAAGGGGCUUAAUCAUGUGGAUGAAGAUGAAAGUGCUUUCACCCAUACACUUUAGGCAUAUGGAGAGAUUUGGUGCUGGAACAAUGAAAUGAUUUCCAGGCUUCUGAAAUUCAUUCCCUAAGAGUUAUCCAUACAUGCUGUGAAAUUUGGUGGUUGGUGACAUAAGCCACAAACUCUAGGGAGUGAUUUCACAUUUCACCUGGGCCUGAAGCAACUCUAAAAAGGACAAGGGAAAUGGGUCUUGGGAGAGAGUAUCUCCCUUCAAUCAGUGGUCCAGAUGCAGUCAAAUACCCAGUUAGAUAUUUGGAUAUUUGGCAACAUGCACACACGCACACACACGCGCGCGCGUAUUUACAUUAUGCCCUACCAAGAUGAAAGGAAGGGAUUUAGUCAUGCUGAUGAGGAUAAAAGUUUCCUUUAUACACUUCUGGCAGAUGGGGAGAUGUAGUGCUGAACUAAUUAUAUGAUCUCUCUAGACUUUCAAAAUGUAUCUCCUAAAAGUCAUCCUCCACAUAUUCUGUAAUGGGUGUUGGUGAUAGGAGCCUGUGAGUCCAGGUGUGGACACAUACAGAGAAUGGCCAAGAAGGAAGAGGAAACAGUUACUCACAUGGGAAAGAUGCAUGGCUAUUUGUUGGACAAAAAGGCAAAAGUCUCAAAUUGAAAGGGACAAAAUCACUUGAGCAACCUGUCAAACGAGUCUCUCCCCAAGAAAUGAACAAAAUGUGAUAUUUCCAGUCAGAAAAUAACAAUUCUGGGUAUCCACAGUAUAGAGAUCACUGUUCUCAGCAGUGUAGGGCCAUGGGAGCGAGAGGCAGCAAAAAGGGGCACCUGAUUAAAUCAUCACUUGUUUACCUGGAGCUUAGUUAUGGCAGCUCACGCCAGUGCUGGAUUCUCAGCAGGCCUUCAUUUUGGUGCAGCUGCCUGCUGCAAUGAUGCUAAAUUGGUCUCAGCUGCUGGCCCUUCCUGAGGAAACUGUCAUAGAGAUUAUUUUAUUUCAAACCCUUCACUGUACAGAUGAGGAAACUUGAGGUCUACUUCUAACAGUCUAUGAGUCAAUGAAGAAAAUCUGGAUGGAAGAGAAGUUUUGAGUCUGAAUUUCCUUCAUUGGAAUAAAGCAAAUAAUUUUUCCAGUUGCUUUAGAACUUAACACUCUUUCCUAUUAUAAGUAAAGAGAAGCCAUUUCAGAGGCAUACUGCUAGAUGAAAGCUGAAAAAUUACAGAAAUCCACCCCUAGAUGACUGAGGACGAGAGAUGAGGUUUGAUGCUUCAGAGGGAUUUAAGAGAGCAGACUUUAUAUUUCAAGGUCUUCUUCACAUGCAUUCUAAAAAGCUACUCUAU